Molecule: long non-coding RNA, 229 nt
Filed under: Lathyrus oleraceus (garden pea)
Lineage: Eukaryota; Viridiplantae; Streptophyta; Magnoliopsida; Fabales; Fabaceae
Description: Pisum sativum (pea) long non-coding RNA (PSAT_LNC002593)
Source: RNAcentral
GAAAUCACAUAUAUUUUUAAGAGUAUAAUGGAUAUGCACUAAUAAUAUAAAUUAAUUUAAAUUAUAAAUUUAUUACUAAAUCAUGUGAAACCAUUAAUUUAAAAGCAUUAGUGUAAUUUUAUAGAAUAUAUUAUGGUGAUAGUGUAAAAUAAUAAUAAAGUGAAAAUGCAUCUUUUAUUUUUCAACAUUUAUUAAAAAGUUUAAAAAUAAUAAUAUAGAAUAAAUUUUC